This 347-nucleotide long non-coding RNA is filed under the name Cyanistes caeruleus (blue tit). Its description in RNAcentral is "lncRNA (ENSCCEG00000015711.1)". Lineage: Eukaryota; Metazoa; Chordata; Aves; Passeriformes; Paridae. The record is from RNAcentral.
AGUGCAGAACCAAAACUAGAGUGUAAACAAACUCACUGACAGACGGUGUCAGCUCAGCUCAGCCUUUACUAGGGAGGACUGCAGUCACCCUUCAUCCCUACAGCCAUCUGGGCUAAAACACUGGCUUUGGGCUCCAUGAUGAAGAGCCACAAGCAGAGGCUGUGGAGCACUAGUCACACAUUACUGAAGUGUUUGGGAGAAAAAAAUAUCCAGGUCUGGACUUUUGAGUUCAGCUUGUCUUUCAUCCCAAGACUCAGACCAUCAGUAAGAAAAAUACCAGCUGCUGUUUAAGGAGAAAUACAAGAAUUUUUGACUACAAGAUCAAAUAGAACAUCAGAUAAAAGGAG